CAUGCAGUCGAGGGGUAUAGUAGCAAUACUAGAGACCGGCGCACGGGUGCGUAACGCGUAUGCAAUCUACCUUUUACAGCGGGAUAGCCCAGAGAAAUUUGGAUUAAUACCACAUAGUAUAAUUACUCGGCAUCGAGAUAUUAUUAAAGUUACAACGGUAAAAGAUGAGCAUGCGUCCCAUUAGCUAGUUGGUAAGGUAACGGCUUACCAAGGCGACGAUGGGUAGGGGUCCUGAGAGGGAGAUCCCCCACACUGGUACUGAGACACGGACCAGACUCCUACGGGAGGCAGCAGUGAGGAAUAUUGGACAAUGGGCGCAAGCCUGAUCCAGCCAUGCCGCGUGCAGGAAGACGGUCCUAUGGAUUGUAAACUGCUUUUAUACAGGAAGAAACACCUCUACGUGUAGAGACUUGACGGUACUGUAAGAAUAAGGAUCGGCUAACUCCGUGCCAGCAGCCGCGGUAAUACGGAGGAUCCAAGCGUUAUCCGGAAUCAUUGGGUUUAAAGGGUCCGUAGGCGGUUUGGUAAGUCAGUGGUGAAAGCCCAUCGCUCAACGGUGGAACGGCCAUUGAUACUGCCAGACUUGAAUUAUUAGGAAGUAACUAGAAUAUGUAGUGUAGCGGUGAAAUGCUUAGAGAUUACAUGGAAUACCAAUUGCGAAGGCAGGUUACUACUAAUGGAUUGACGCUGAUGGACGAAAGCGUGGGUAGCGAACAGGAUUAGAUACCCUGGUAGUCCACGCCGUAAACGAUGGAUACUAGCUGUUGGGAGCAAUCUCAGUGGCUAAGCGAAAGUGAUAAGUAUCCCACCUGGGGAGUACGUUCGCAAGAAUGAAACUCAAAGGAAUUGACGGGGGCCCGCACAAGCGGUGGAGCAUGUGGUUUAAUUCGAUGAUACGCGAGGAACCUUACCAAGGCUUAAAUGUAGAUUGACCGGUUUGGAAACAGACCCUUCGCAAGACAAUUUACAAGUGCUGCAUGGUUGUCGUCAGCUCGUGCCGUG
Molecule: ribosomal RNA, 1002 nt
Filed under: Flavobacterium sp. UA-JF1603
Lineage: Bacteria; Pseudomonadati; Bacteroidota; Flavobacteriia; Flavobacteriales; Flavobacteriaceae
Description: bacterial SSU rRNA
Rfam family: Bacterial small subunit ribosomal RNA
Source: RNAcentral